RNAcentral lists this ribosomal RNA (478 nucleotides) under uncultured bacterium. RNAcentral's name for it is "partial 16S ribosomal RNA". It matches the Rfam family "Bacterial small subunit ribosomal RNA", at positions 28 to 523 of the family's 1533-position model. The record is from RNAcentral.
GACGAACGCUGGCAGCGUGCUUAACACAUGCAAGUCGAACGGUAAGGCCCUUCGGGGUACACGAGUGGCGAACGGGUGAGUAACACGUGGGUGAUCUGCCCUGCACUUCGGGAUAAGCCUGGGAAACUGGGUCUAAUACCGGAUAGGACCACUGCCUGCAUGGGUGGUGGUGGAAAGCUUUUGCGGUGUGGGAUGGGCCCGCGGCCUAUCAGCUUGUUGGUGGGGUGAUGGCCUACCAAGGCGACGACGGGUAGCCGGCCUGAGAGGGUGACCGGCCACACUGGGACUGAGAUACGGCCCAGACUCCUACGGGAGGCAGCAGUGGGGAAUAUUGCACAAUGGGCGCAGGCCUGAUGCAGCGACGCCGCGUGAGGGAUGCCGGCCUUCGGGUUGUAAACCUCUUUCAGCACCGACGAAGCGCAAGUGACGGUAGGUGCAGAAGAAGGACCGGCCAACUACGUGCCAGCCGCCGCCGUAA